UACGUAGGGGGCAAGCGUUGUCCGGAAUCAUUGGGCGUAAAGCGCGUGUAGGCGGUCCGGUAAGUCCGCUGUGAAAGUCGGGGGCUCAACCCUCGGAUGCCGGUGGAUACUGUCGGGCUAGAGUCCGGAAGAGGCGAGUGGAAUUCCCGGUGUAGCGGUGAAAUGCGCAGAUAUCGGGAGGAACACCAAUGGCGAAGGCAGCUCGCUGGGACGGUACUGACGCUGAGACGCGAAAGCGUGGGGAGCAAACAGG
RNAcentral lists this ribosomal RNA (253 nucleotides) under uncultured bacterium. Its description in RNAcentral is "partial 16S ribosomal RNA". It matches the Rfam family "Bacterial small subunit ribosomal RNA", at positions 524 to 776 of the family's 1533-position model. The record is from RNAcentral.